Molecule: long non-coding RNA, 207 nt
Filed under: Trifolium pratense (red clover)
Lineage: Eukaryota; Viridiplantae; Streptophyta; Magnoliopsida; Fabales; Fabaceae
Description: long non-coding RNA (TPRA_LNC007205)
Source: RNAcentral
ACGAACAUGAUCUCCUAGGAUUUAUCUAGGAUUCUAGAACCCGUGUUAAACCUAGAACGAACAUGUGAGAAUGGGAUGGGUUGCAGGUAACUCUGAGCCGUUGGCCUUCAAAUUUUUCACCUAAUCUGUUGCGUGACAUACUACUUGCAUUCAUGCAUCCAUAAAAAUAAUCAUGCAUGUGCAUUGUUUUUAAAGAACUAAAUAGAC